RNAcentral lists this ribosomal RNA (253 nucleotides) under uncultured bacterium. Its description in RNAcentral is "partial 16S ribosomal RNA". It matches the Rfam family "Bacterial small subunit ribosomal RNA", at positions 524 to 776 of the family's 1533-position model. The record is from RNAcentral.
GACAGAGGAUGCAAGCGUUAUCCAGAAUGAUUGGGCGUAAAGCGUCUGUAGGUGGCUUUUCAAGUCCGCCGUCAAAUCCCAGGGCUCAACCCUGGACAGGCGAUGGAAACUACCAAACUGGAGUACGAUAGGGGCAGAGGGAAUUUCUGGUGGAGCGGUGAAAUGCAUUGAGAUCGGAAAGAACACCAAUGACGAAAGCACUCUGCUGGGCCGACACUGACACUGAGAGAUGAAAGCUAGGGGAGCAAAUGGG